AGAGUUUGAUCCUGGCUCAGGAUGAACGCUGGCGGCGUGCUUAACACAUGCAAGUCGAACGAUCCUUCGGGAUAGUGGUGGACGGGUGAGUAACGCGUGGGAAUCUGCCCUCAGGAGGGGGAUAACGGCUGGAAACGGCCGCUAAUACCCCAUAUGCCGAGAGGUGAAAUGAAUUUCGCCUGAGGAUGAGCCCGCGUCUGAUUAGCUAGUUGGUGGGGUAAAGGCCUACCAUGGCAACGAUCAGUAGCUGGUCUGAGAGGAUGAUCAGCCACACUGGGACUGAGACACGGCCCAGACUCCUACGGGAGGCAGCAGUGGGGAAUUUUCCGCAAUGGGCGAAAGCCUGACGGAGCAACGCCGCGUGAGGGAUGAAGGCCUCUGGGCUGUAAACCUCUUUUCUCAAGGAAGAAGACCUGACGGUACUUGAGGAAUAAGCCACGGCUAAUUCCGUGCCAGCAGCCGCGGUAAUACGGGAGUGGCAAGCGUUAUCCGGAAUUAUUGGGCGUAAAGCGUCCGCAGGCGGCCUUGUAAGUCUGUUGUUAAAGCGUGGAGCUCAACUCCAUUUAAGCAAUGGAAACUACAAGGCUGGAGUGUGGUAGGGGCAGAGGGAAUUCCCGGUGUAGCGGUGAAAUGCGUAGAUAUCGGGAAGAACACCAGUGGCGAAGGCGCUCUGCUGGGCCAUAACUGACGCUCAUGGACGAAAGCCAGGGGAGCGAAAGGGAUUAGAUACCCCUGUAGUCCUGGCCGUAAACGAUGAACACUAGGUGUCGGGGGAAUCGACCCCCUCGGUGUCGUAGCCAACGCGUUAAGUGUUCCGCCUGGGGAGUACGCACGCAAGUGUGAAACUCAAAGGAAUUGACGGGGGCCCGCACAAGCGGUGGAGUAUGUGGUUUAAUUCGAUGCAACGCGAAGAACCUUACCAGGGUUUGACAUCCUGCGAACCCCUGAGAAAUCGGGGGGUGCCUUCGGGAGCGCAGAGACAGGUGGUGCAUGGCUGUCGUCAGCUCGUGUCGUGAGAUGUUGGGUUAAGUCCCGCAACGAGCGCAACCCACGUCUUUAGUUGCCAGCAUUCAGUUGGGCACUCUAGAGAGGCCGCCGGUGAUAAACCGGAGGAAGGUGUGGAUGACGUCAAGUCAUCAUGCCCCUUACAUCCUGGGCUACACACGUACUACAAUGCUACGGACAAAGGGCAGCAAGCUCGCGAGAGUUAGCAAAUCCCAUAAACCGUGGCUCAGUUCAGAUCGUAGGCUGCAACUCGCCUACGUGAAGGAGGAAUCGCUAGUAAUCGCAGGUCAGCAUACUGCGGUGAAUACGUUCCCGGGCCUUGUACAC
This 1332-nucleotide ribosomal RNA is filed under the name metagenome. RNAcentral describes it as "bacterial SSU rRNA". It matches the Rfam family "Bacterial small subunit ribosomal RNA". The record is from RNAcentral.